Molecule: ribosomal RNA, 716 nt
Filed under: Lysinibacillus sphaericus
Lineage: Bacteria; Bacillati; Bacillota; Bacilli; Caryophanales; Bacillaceae
Description: bacterial SSU rRNA
Rfam family: Bacterial small subunit ribosomal RNA
Source: RNAcentral
CAAGUCGAGCGAACAGAGAAGGAGCUUGCUCCUUUGACGUUAGCGGCGGACGGGUGAGUAACACGUGGGCAACCUACCUUAUAGUUUGGGAUAACUCCGGGAAACCGGGGCUAAUACCGAAUAAUCUGUUUCACCUCAUGGUGAAAUAUUGAAAGACGGUUUCGGCUGUCGCUAUAGGAUGGGCCCGCGGCGCAUUAGCUAGUUGGUGAGGUAACGGCUCACCAAGGCGACGAUGCGUAGCCGACCUGAGAGGGUGAUCGGCCACACUGGGACUGAGACACGGCCCAGACUCCUACGGGAGGCAGCAGUAGGGAAUCUUCCACAAUGGGCGAAAGCCUGAUGGAGCAACGCCGCGUGAGUGAAGAAGGAUUUCGGUUCGUAAAACUCUGUUGUAAGGGAAGAACAAGUACAGUAGUAACUGGCUGUACCUUGACGGUACCUUAUUAGAAAGCCACGGCUAACUACGUGCCAGCAGCCGCGGUAAUACGUAGGUGGCAAGCGUUGUCCGGAAUUAUUGGGCGUAAAGCGCGCGCAGGUGGUUUCUUAAGUCUGAUGUGAAAGCCCACGGCUCAACCGUGGAGGGUCAUUGGAAACUGGGAGACUUGAGUGCAGAAGAGGAUAGUGGAAUUCCAAGUGUAGCGGUGAAAUGCGUAGAGAUUUGGAGGAACACCAGUGGCGAAGGCGACUAUCUGGUCUGUAACUGACACUGAGGCGCG